RNA transcript from Cajanus cajan (pigeon pea), 2365 nucleotides. It is a transcript of the gene named putative WRKY transcription factor 65, with no coding region annotated. NCBI's taxonomy places the organism in Eukaryota, Viridiplantae, Streptophyta, Magnoliopsida, Fabales, Fabaceae. The record is from RefSeq and is a predicted model, not a curated record.
UGGAAGUUGUUCUACAUCGGUUUUGCUUAGGACCGAUGUAGAAAUGAGACCCUAAUAUUCACCCUGCGCGAAGGCACACUACCCUUUCAACGCCGUCUGCCUCCAACCACACCCAAACCCUUCCCACGCCGUCAGCCUCCAACCACACCCAAACCCUUCCGCUCGCAACCAUGCUAUUCCCUCACUACCUACUCGAUUCCCCCUCGAAGAUGACAAAAACGUCACCAUAGCCGUGGCCCAGGGCGUCGUUCCCGUGCUCGUGCGCCUUCUCGAUUCCCCCUCCAAAAUGAAGGAAAAAACCGUUGCCGCCAUUUCCAGAGUCUCCACCGUCGAAAUCGCCAAAAAUGUUCUCCUCGCGGAAGGCCUCCUCCUCCUCAACCACCUCCUCCGAUAGUUGAGGGUUUCGGUAGUGAAGGAAGGUGGUGUGGAGUGCUUGAAGAAUUAAUGGGACUCCGGUGUUCCUCUUGCGAGUCUGGAAGUUGCAGUGGAGAUGGUGCGGCAUUUGACAGAAGGGUUUGUGCAGAGGAUGGUGGGGGUGUUGAGUUCAAGGUGCUGGCAGUUAGGGUUUCAACGGCGAGGGCAGUUCAUGCGUUGGGGAUGAACAAUAACAAAGCGCGGAAGGAGAUGAGGGAAUUGGGAUGCAUUUCGGUUUUGAUCAAGAUGUUGGAUAGGAAGGGCGUGGAGGAGAAAGAAGGUUCCGCGAUGGCAUUGUCAGUGCUACUGAUGCACCCGGCGAAACGGAGGGUGUUUUGGAAGGACGAAAGAGGGGUUGUGAGCGCAGUUCAUCUCUUGAAAGAGGGCUUCUGAUUGUGCCUGUUCAAAUGGUUCUUAUUCUACUUUGUAUGUAGGCCAAAUUGGGUGAGAAAAACAAGUUCUAUUAUGAUGAGAAGCUGAAGACAUGGGUGGAAGAAGGUGCUGAAUCCAGUUGAAAAAGUUGCUUUGACUAUUGAUUUUGGAAACAGAUAGUAAGUUCAGCAACAACCACAAACCAUCCUACACCAUUAAAGAACAAGAAGACACGGAUGCAUCUCAAGAAAACAACAUUGCAGACUCCCCCUCCCUCUUCCACUGUGCUCAACAUCGAUGGCUUAGUCACCUCCCCCACUUCUUCAUCUAAGAGAAGGAGGGCAAUACAGAAAAGGGUAGUGCAAAUCCCAAUCAAGGAGACAGAAGGGUGUAGGCUAAAAGGAGAAAGCAACACCCCACCCUCGGAUUCAUGGGCAUGGAGAAAGUAUGGGCAGAAACCCAUCAAAGGUUCCCCUUAUCCCUUGUUAAUUGAAUUCCAUUCCAAUAACAUGCUAUUCAUGUUUGGGAUUUUUAAGGUUUGUUGCAAUUGUAAGACCUUGUUUUGUGAAGAUAAUAAUUGAGGAGAAGAAAGAUAAGUAGUGUGUGACUUUGGAGGAUCCUCGCACUGAAGAUCUUAGCCAAGAAGUCAGAGGAUUCAUAUUCUCUAAAAUUCUGAAUUGAAGAAUUCAUCGACUAUUUAUUCCCAGAGGAAACCCAGAAAAAAAAUCUCAAGAUCUUGGAAGCUGCUUACAAAUGGAAAAGGCAAAAAUUGUCUUCUGAUGAUGAUUAAGAAUAUCUUGUAGCUGCUAUACCUUUAGCAUGUGUAUAUAUCGGCAAGGUUUUAUUGUUGUAUAACCGGCAAAAAUAGUAUAGCUUCUACAGCCAAGUCAAUCACGGGCUUUUAUAGUUUGUGACAGACACAUUUGAGGAAUAUUUGUCAUGCAACCGAGAUGGCCAAAAUUUUUAUUGGGAGAAUGUUGGAAAACAUAUUUAAAACAAAAAUGAUAAUUGAAACUCUUAAAUUAACUAUUUUUUAUUGUUUUACAACAAUAACAAAAAAAAAAUAAUGAAGUUAUUUGUUUUAAAAUGUACAGUAAGCCAUAGUGCUUAUCUGAUUUUGUUAGGGUAGUGAUUCUUCUGUCAUGCUGUCGAGUGAGAUGGAUCAAGCAUGGAAUGGGAUCCCAUACUUCUAGCAUGCUGUCAGGGUAGUGAUUCUUUUAAGCUUACAAUUGCCCAACCAGCAUUGGACAUGCCUGAACUAUUGUGGAAGGAAUACAUUGACUUUGAGACUGCUGAGGGAGAAUUUGAGAGAGCAAGAGCACUUUAUGAAAGGCUUCUUGAUCGAACAAAGCACUUGAAGGUAUGGAUAAGCUAUGCAGAAUUUGAGGCAACGGCUAUGGAUAUGGACAGUGCAGACUUAGAAGAACAUGAACAAAAGAAGCAAUGUAUUCAGCAUGCUAGAAGUAUGGGAUCCUAGUGCCACACACAAGCUGUUAAUUUUAAUUGUUUGUUCUCAGUUUGAACAUUAGUCAGCCAUUUUUUUUUUCUGUUGCUUUUGAAAUAUUUCUUCUGGAUUCAA